Molecule: transfer RNA, 69 nt
Filed under: Ictidomys tridecemlineatus (thirteen-lined ground squirrel)
Lineage: Eukaryota; Metazoa; Chordata; Mammalia; Rodentia; Sciuridae
Description: Spermophilus tridecemlineatus (thirteen-lined ground squirrel) tRNA
Rfam family: tRNA
About the family: Transfer RNA (tRNA) molecules are approximately 80 nucleotides in length.
Source: Rfam by way of RNAcentral
GGGGUUGUGGCUCUGUGGUAGAGCAGUCGCCUGGCACGUGUGAGGCCCUGGGUUCGAUCCUCAGCACCA